GACGGACGCUGGCGGCGUGCUUAACACAUGCAAGUCGAACGGAAAGGCCCCAGCUUGCUGGGGUACUCGAGUGGCGAACGGGUGAGUAACACGUGGGUGAUCUGCCCUGCACUCUGGGAUAAGCCUGGGAAACUGGGUCUAAUACCGGAUAGGACCGUGCUUUAGUGUGUGCGGUGGAAAGUUUUUCGGUGCAGGAUGAGCCCGCGGCCUAUCAGCUUGUUGGUGGGGUAAUGGCCUACCAAGGCGGCGACGGGUAGCCGGCCUGAGAGGGUGUACGGCCACAUUGGGACUGAGACACGGCCCAGACUCCUACGGGAGGCAGCAGUGGGGAAUAUUGCACAAUGGGCGCAAGCCUGAUGCAGCGACGCCGCGUGGGGGAUGACGGCCUUUGGGUUGUAAACCCCUUUCGGCAGGGACGAAGCUUUUGUGACGGUACCUGCAUAAGAAGCACCGGCUAACUACGUG
RNAcentral lists this ribosomal RNA (465 nucleotides) under uncultured bacterium. RNAcentral describes it as "partial 16S ribosomal RNA". It matches the Rfam family "Bacterial small subunit ribosomal RNA", at positions 28 to 507 of the family's 1533-position model. The record is from RNAcentral.